Long non-coding RNA from Amblyraja radiata (thorny skate), 794 nucleotides. RefSeq lists it as uncharacterized. NCBI's taxonomy places the organism in Eukaryota, Metazoa, Chordata, Chondrichthyes, Rajiformes, Rajidae. The transcript has 3 exons. The record is from RefSeq and is a predicted model, not a curated record.
UCCCAUGAUUUUAUGGGGGGACUAUGUAUAAACACAGCUGUAAUUUCUACACGGUGAAACCAAAAUGUAUAAAAAUGGCCUUUAUUAAAAUCUGACAAUGUGCACUUUAACCACAUGUGAUUUUUGUUUUCAAUUACAAAUCUCAAAUUGUGGAGUACAGAGGCAAUGAUGGGACUUUGUCCCAAACAUUAUGGAGGGUCCUGUGAUUCUGUCCAUUUGAGCUGUUUGUUUCCUGUGUUGGAUUCCAUACUGGAUUGGAAAUGGCAGACAUGGACUACUGUUUUUUUCUAACAUCGCAGAAAAUAUUAAGACUUUUGUGUAUGAAAACAGUACGGAACUAAUGAACCCAGAGAAUAUUUUAUUAGUUCACUUUAUACUAAACCCAGUAAAGCACUUGGACUCUCAACCCAUUUAAAUUCUUUAAAGGAGAAAUAUUUGCCAAAGAUUUAUGUAAAAAAAAAAGAUUAAGGAAGAGAGUGUGGAAGAAUUUGAAACCUGUCAUAAAAGUGAUAUUUGCACAGAAUGGAAUUUUAUGCUGAUAUUUGAUAUGAAGUAAUGCCAAAUGAGAGCUGGUUUGAGGGAUUGUAUAUAAAGAGAGACUUGUUCUGGACUUUCUGGUGUGUCUGCCUCAACUGUUCUGGACAAACAACUCGAUUUCCCACCUGUAUGUAGGUCAGAGAUCAAUGUAAAGACCCCGGGGAUAUUCCCUCUCCCCAGAAGGAACGAGGAUAGAGUUCGAAGAUCGACACAAAAUGCUGGACUAACUCAGCAUAUUAGGCAGCAUAAGGUCAUAA